CUGGUUGAUCCUGCCAGUAGUCAUAUGCUUGUGUUAAAGAUUAAGCCAUGCAAGCCUAAGUUUAAGGUGAUAAACCGAAACUGCGGAUGGCUCAUUAAAUCAGUCAUAAUUAAUUUGGUGAAGAUCUUAGUAGGAUAACCCUGUUAAUUGCAGAGCUAAUACAUGAAGAUGAUACAGGCCUGGUCACAGGACUGUAGCGUUUGUCAGCUCGAUUUCGUCUGGGGGUAGGUAGUGAUACUUAUUUCCGGGCGGAAGGGGUGGGGACCUACCUAUAUGCUUUAGAUUAGACAACGUACUUACCCAGGAAGCUAAAAUUACAGAGCGGAAUCUCACAUAAAACGCGAAUAACAAAAGGGGGUAUUGGGUACGUGGCGUGUAGGAGAUUUGGGCCUAUCCUUAAAGCCAGUGUUGCAGAGCAAUGAAAAAGGACAAAGAGUUGUUUUUGAUGUUGAGCAAUCGAUGUCAAGAAUAGCUAGUAGCGGAUCGCAGUUAAAACGAGCAGCAAUGUUCGUGGCGACAGACCAAUUGAAUGACUGACCUAUCAAGGGGCUGGUAGGAUAGGGGCCUACCAUUCUUGUGACGGGUAACGGGGAAUAAGGGUUCGAUUCCGGAGAGGGAGCCUGAGAAACGGCUACCACUUCCAAGGUAGGCAGCAGGCGCGUAAAUUACUCGGUGCCGAAACGGCGAGGUAGUGACAAGAAAUACCAAUGCCUUUGGCUGGGGGCAACCCUGGUCGGGGCAAUUGGAAUGGGUUGAAGGUAAAGUAGUCUUCGAGUAACAAUUGGAGGGCAAGUCUGG
This 798-nucleotide ribosomal RNA is filed under the name uncultured Iodamoeba. Its description in RNAcentral is "partial 18S ribosomal RNA". It matches the Rfam family "Eukaryotic small subunit ribosomal RNA", at positions 4 to 564 of the family's 1831-position model. Lineage: Eukaryota; Evosea; Mastigamoebida; Endamoebidae. The record is from RNAcentral.